GAUUGUCCCAGCCGCCGCGGUAAUACGUAGGGUGCGAGCGUUAAUCGGAAUUACUGGGCGUAAAGCGUGCGCAGGCGGUUUUGUAAGACAGGCGUGAAAUCCCCGGGCUCAACCUGGGAAUGGCGCUUGUGACUGCAAAGCUGGAGUGCGGCUAGAGGGGGAUGGAAUUCCGCGUGUAGCAGUGAAAUGCGUAGAUAUGCGGAGGAACACCGAUGGCGAAGGCAAUCCCCUGGGCCUGCACUGACGCUCAUGCACGAAAGCGUGGGGAGCAAACAGGAUUAGAUACCCUGGUAGUCCACGCCCUAAACGAUGUCAACUGGUUUGUUGGGUCUUUUGCUGACUCAGUAACGAAGCCUAACGCGUGAAGUUUGACCGCCUGGGGAGUACGGCCCGCAAGGUUGAAACUCAAAGGAAUUUGACGGGGACCCGCACAAGCGGGGGAUGAUGUGGUUUUAUUCGAUGCACCGCGAAAAAUCCUUACCCCACCUUUUGACCAUUGGCAAGGAAUUCUUAAAAAGAUAGGAGGAGUGC
This 531-nucleotide ribosomal RNA is filed under the name uncultured bacterium. Its description in RNAcentral is "bacterial SSU rRNA". It matches the Rfam family "Bacterial small subunit ribosomal RNA", at positions 499 to 1019 of the family's 1533-position model. The record is from RNAcentral.